This 506-nucleotide ribosomal RNA is filed under the name uncultured bacterium. RNAcentral describes it as "partial 16S ribosomal RNA". It matches the Rfam family "Bacterial small subunit ribosomal RNA", at positions 29 to 523 of the family's 1533-position model. The record is from RNAcentral.
AGUGAACGCUGGCGGUAGGCCUAACACAUGCAAGUCGAACGGCAGCACAGGAGAGCUUGCUCUCUGGGUGGCGAGUGGCGGACGGGUGAGGAAUACAUCGGAAUCUACUCUGUCGUGGGGGAUAACGUAGGGAAACUUACGCUAAUACCGCAUACGACCUACGGGUGAAAGCAGGGGACCUUCGGGCCUUGCGCGAUUGAAUGGGCCGAUGUCGGAUUAGCUAGUUGGCGGGGUAAAGGCCCACCAAGGCGACGAUCCGUAGCUGGUCUGAGAGGAUGCUCAGCCACACUGGAACUGGGACACGGUCCAGACUCCUACGGGAAGCAGCAGUGGGGAAUAUUGGACAAUGGGCGCAAGCCUGAUCCAGCCAUACCGCGUGGGUGAAGAAGGCCUUCGGGUUGUAAAGCCCUUUUGUUGGGAAAGAAAUCCAGCUGGCUAAUACCCGGUUGGGAUGACGGUACCCAAAGAAUAAGCACCGGCUAACUUCGUGCCAGCCGCCGCUGUAA